Molecule: ribosomal RNA, 271 nt
Filed under: Bacillus velezensis
Lineage: Bacteria; Bacillati; Bacillota; Bacilli; Caryophanales; Bacillaceae
Description: partial 16S ribosomal RNA
Rfam family: Bacterial small subunit ribosomal RNA
Source: RNAcentral
UUGAUCUUAGUUGCCAGCCAUUCCAGUUGGGCACUCUAAGGGUGACUGCCGGUUGACAAACCGGAGGGAAGGUGGGGAUGACGUCAAAUUCAUCAUGCCCCUUUAUGACCUUGGCCUACACACGUGCUACAAAUCGCCCGAACCAAAGGGGCAGCGAAACCGCGAGGUUAAGCCCAAUCCCCACAAAUCUGUUCUCAGUUCGGAUCGCAGUCUGCAACUCGACUGCGUGAAGCUGGAAUCGCUAGUAAUCGCGGAUCUGCAUGCCGCGGUG